CUACGGGGCGCUCCAGUGGGGAAUAUUGCACAAUGGGCGAAAGCCUGAUGCAGCAACGCCGCGUGAGGGACGACGGCCUUCGGGUUGUAAACCUCUUUUAGCAGGGAAGAAGCGAAAGUGACGGUACCUGCAGAAAAAGCACCGGCUAACUACGUGCCAGCAGCCGCGGUAAUACGUAGGGUGCAAGCGUUGUCCGGGAUUAUUGGGCGUAAAGAGCUCGUAGGCGGUUUGUCGCGUCUGCUGUGGAAAUCCGAGGCUCAACCUCGGACCUGCAGUGGGUACGGGCAAACUAGAGUGCGGUAGGGGAGAUUGGAAUUCCUGGUGUAGCGGUGGAAUGCGCAGAUAUCAGGAGGAACACCAAUGGCGAAGGCAGAUCUCUGGGCCGUAACUGACGCUGAGGAGCGAAAGCGUGGGGAGCGAACAGGAUUAGAUACCCCAGUAGUC
Molecule: ribosomal RNA, 444 nt
Filed under: uncultured bacterium
Lineage: Bacteria
Description: partial 16S ribosomal RNA
Rfam family: Bacterial small subunit ribosomal RNA
Source: RNAcentral